Molecule: ribosomal RNA, 497 nt
Filed under: uncultured bacterium
Lineage: Bacteria
Description: partial 16S ribosomal RNA
Rfam family: Bacterial small subunit ribosomal RNA
Source: RNAcentral
GAUGAACGCUGGCGGCGUGCCUAAUACAUGCAAGUCGAGCGAACGGACGAGAAGCUUGCUUCUCUGAUGUUAGCGGCGGACGGGUGAGUAACACGUGGAUAACCUACCUAUAAGACUGGGAUAACUUCGGGAAACCGGGGCUAAUACCGGAUGAUAUUUUGAACCGCAUGGUUCAAAAGUGAAAGACGGUCUUGCUGUCACUUAUAGAUGGAUCCGCGCUGCAUUAGCUAGUUGGUAAGGUAACGGCUUACCAAGGCAACGAUGCAUAGCCGACCUGAGAGGGUGAUCGGCCACACUGGAACUGAGACACGGUCCAGACUCCUACGGGAGGCAGCAGUAGGGAAUCUUCCGCAAUGGGCGAAAGCCUGACGGAGCAACGCCGAGUGAGUGAUGAAGGUCUUCGGAUCGUAAAACUCUGUUAUUAGGGAAGAACAUAUGUGUAAGUAACUGUGCACAUCUUGACGGUACCUAAUCAGAAAGCCACGGCUAACUACGUG